CUAUUAGUGAAGAUCCGUUCGGCAGAGUAGCUGUUGACAUUAUAGUUGCACAGGCACUUUGGUGAUAGCGACUUUGCAUUCGGAUGUCUGCCCUAUCAACUUUCGAUGCCACUUUCUGCGCCUACCAUGGUGACAACGGGUAAUGGGGAAUCAGGGUUUGAUUCCGGAGAGGCAGCCUGAGAAAUGGAUACCACAUCCAAAGAAGGCA
This is a non-coding RNA of Pelobates cultripes (western spadefoot toad), 208 nucleotides long. Lineage: Eukaryota; Metazoa; Chordata; Amphibia; Anura; Pelobatidae. The record is from the annotation of a GenBank genome assembly.